RNAcentral lists this long non-coding RNA (1156 nucleotides) under Capra hircus (goat). Its description in RNAcentral is "lncRNA (ENSCHIG00000002622.1)". Lineage: Eukaryota; Metazoa; Chordata; Mammalia; Artiodactyla; Bovidae. The record is from RNAcentral.
UUACCUCGGCAUUUAUGCAGCAGCAGCAGGAGACCAUUAUUCAGUGACACAUUCUAUCCCACUGACAUUAUCACUCAAAGAUGGUCGAUUUCAUUUUCAGGAAGGUCCCAGAGAGCCACAGAGAAGUUACAAUCAAUCACACAACCAGGAUUUCCAGCAAAGUCAUCUUCCUGGCAGAAAGAAAAUGAGUCUUCUGGCAUCUCAGCCUGGUAUCAGACUUGACCACCAAGAAAAUUUUCUUCUCUUCAGAAUAAAGAAGAAAAAUAAUUAGGAACAGAGAACAUGGACCAUGAACUCCUGAGAUGCCUAUGUGCUAUUUGUACACAAGGACUCCACAGAAUGCUCCAUUUUUUUCCUGGACCAGUGCAAGCCAUGUAGAAUGUGACUCAUACAGGGGUCUACAUUGGCCAUCAACCACAGACAGACCUUGGCCCAAGGCCCAUUUUGGAAGAAAACUGAAAGCAUGUUAUGCCAAUGUGUUCUUGCUACAUUUACUCUUGCACCUGCAGGUUGCUUUUAGGAGUUGUUUAAUGGAAACCUCAAGUCCCCUUAAACCAAAUGUAAUUGACAGAAAGGUGGCUGUGCUGAAUUAUAAGGGUAAGUAUGUUAACAAGUUCUAGUUCGCUGGACCACAGGCUUGGUGAGCUGCUUUGGAGUGAGUCCUGCCUUCAGCAAGGAAAACAAAAAAUAGCACAUCCCCUUUUAAUUAACUGCUUCUGGCAAGAAACCUGGUCAUGAGGGAACAGGCCUAGACAAAGACUGGAGUGCAUUGAUCUUCCCAAUAAUAUAUGGCCAAGGCUUCUUUUUCUGAUCAUGUCCUGCUUGUCUUAUUAUUGUUGCUCAUGUAAACUCAUGCAAGGCACCAAGUAUUUUCUUUGUUUAGCAUGAUGGAUUAAAAUGAUGGUUGCAAAACUGUACUGUUUCUAAGCAAGGGAUAAGUACAUUAAAUCUGUUUCUGCCUCCUGUAAAAUAAAAAACAUACUGACCUUGUUAAUAAGAUAUGUAUCCAACAGAUAACAAAAGUAUCAUUUAAGUAGUAUACUUGGGUAAGACAGAGAAGUGAAAUUUUGGGUUGCUUCAUGGAGAUGAUACAGAUGCAAUAGUUGGUACACUAUUAAUUACAUAAAUAUUUUAAUCUUGGAGUAAUAUAUUAUAA